GAUGAACGCUGGCGGCGUGCUUAACACAUGCAAGUCGAACGAGAAGUGAAGACGGAAACCUUCGGGCGGAAGGCUUUAUUUCGAGUGGCGGACGGGGGAGUAACGCGUGGGUAACCUGCCUCAUACAGGGGGAUAACAGUUGGAAACGACUGUUAAUACCGCAUAAGACCACAGCACCGCAUGGUGCGGGGGUAAAAACUCCGGUGGUAUGAGAUGGACCCGCGUUCGAUUAGCCAGUUGGCGGGGUAACGGCCCACCAAAGCGACGAUCGAUAGCCGAUCUGAGAGGAUGACCGGCCACAUUGGGACUGAGACACGGCCCAAACUCCUACGGGAGGCAGCAGUGGGGAAUAUUGCACAAUGGGGGAAACCCUGAUGCAGCGACGCCGCGUGAGUGAAGAAGUAUUUCGGUAUGUAAAGCUCUAUCAGCAGGGAAGAAAAUGACGGUACCUGAGUAAGAAGCCCCGGCUAACUACGU
This 477-nucleotide ribosomal RNA is filed under the name uncultured bacterium. Its description in RNAcentral is "partial 16S ribosomal RNA". It matches the Rfam family "Bacterial small subunit ribosomal RNA", at positions 28 to 506 of the family's 1533-position model. The record is from RNAcentral.